RNAcentral lists this ribosomal RNA (261 nucleotides) under uncultured prokaryote. RNAcentral's name for it is "partial 16S ribosomal RNA". It matches the Rfam family "Bacterial small subunit ribosomal RNA", at positions 524 to 784 of the family's 1533-position model. The record is from RNAcentral.
UACGGAGGAUGCAAGCGUUAUCCGGAAUUAUUGGGCGUAAAGAGCGCGCAGGUGGUUGAUUAAGUCUGAUGUGAAAGCCCACGGCUUAACCGUGGAGGGUCAUUGGAAACUGGUCGACUUGAGUGCAGAAGAGGGAAGUGGAAUUCCAUGUGUAGCGGUGAAAUGCGUAGAGAUAUGGAGGAACACCAGUGGCGAAGGCGGCUUCCUGGUCUGUAACUGACACUGAGGCGCGAAAGCGUGGGGAGCAAACAGGAUUAGAUA